Molecule: ribosomal RNA, 511 nt
Filed under: Megasphaera geminata
Lineage: Bacteria; Bacillati; Bacillota; Negativicutes; Veillonellales; Veillonellaceae
Description: bacterial SSU rRNA
Rfam family: Bacterial small subunit ribosomal RNA
Source: RNAcentral
GACGAACGCUGGCGGCGUGCGUAACACAUGCAAGUCGAACGAGAGAGUGAGAGAAGCUUGCUUUUCUUACGAUCGAGUGGCAAACGGGUGAGUAACGCGUAAACAACCUGCCCCGCAGAUGGGGACAACAGCUGGAAACGGCUGCUAAUACCGAAUACGGUCCUCUUAGCGCAUGGUAAGAGGAAGAAAGGGUGGCCUCUGGAACAAGCUACCGCUGUGGGAGGGGUUUGCGUCUGAUUAGCUGGUUGGAGGGGUAACGGCCCACCAAGGCGACGAUCAGUAGCCGGUCUGAGAGGAUGAACGGCCACAUUGGAACUGAGACACGGUCCAGACUCCUACGGGAGGCAGCAGUGGGGAAUCUUCCGCAAUGGGCGAAAGCCUGACGGAGCAACGCCGCGUGAGUGAAGACGGCCUUCGGGUUGUAAAGCUCUGUUAUAGGGGACGAACGGCCGGGUAGCGAAUAGGUACCCGGCAUGACGGUAACCGUAAGAGAAAGCCACGGCUAACUACA